This 496-nucleotide ribosomal RNA is filed under the name uncultured bacterium. RNAcentral's name for it is "partial 16S ribosomal RNA". It matches the Rfam family "Bacterial small subunit ribosomal RNA", at positions 28 to 506 of the family's 1533-position model. The record is from RNAcentral.
GAUGAACGCUGGCGGCGUGCCUAAUACAUGCAAGUCGAGCGAACGGACGAGAAGCUUGCUCUUCUGAUGUUAGCGGCGGACGGGUGAGUAACACGUGGAUAACCUACCUAUAAGACUGGGAUAACUUCGGGAAACAGCAGCUACUACCGGAUAAUAUUUUGAACCGCAUGGUUCAAAAGUGAUUGACGCUCUUGCUGUCUCUUAUAGAUGGAUCCGCGCUGCAUUAGCUAGUUGGUAAGGUAACGGCUUACCAAGGCAACGUUGCAUAGCCGACCUGAGAGGUGAAUCGGCACAAUGGGAACGAGGACACGUCCCGAAUCCCUAGGGAAGGCAGCAGGAGGGAUACUGCAGCAAGGGGCGAAAGCCUGACGGGGCAACCCCGCUGGGGUGAGGAAGGGUUGCGGAUCGUAAAACGCUGUUAUUAGGGAGAAACAUAUCUGUAAAUAACGGUGCACAUCUGGCGGUACCCAAAGCAGAAGGCCACGCUUAACUCCGG